CUGACAGUUACCUACUAGCAUCCCUGUGAACUGGCGCCCUACAGAACAGACUCUGGACAACUGCACAUGCUGACGCUGCUGUGGGAAGUGAUCUUUCUUUCUCUUGUGUCCUGUGAUCUUCCUCUUCCUUCAAAAUUCACACUCUGUGCAUCUCUCCACCAUUAUACCUGUCGCCCACUCUGGGGGAGGAGAGCUGUCAUGUUGUGAGAAUAUCCAAAGAGUCUUGAAAGAGGCACCCAUGGGGAUGAAGUGAGACAUCCUGUCAACAGCCAGCAUGAACUUGCCAGCCAUGGGAAAGAUCCAUCAAGGAAAGUGCAUCUUCCAGCCCCUGCCAAGCCUUCAGUUUUUUAGCACCAUCUCUAACACAAGUGUUGAGUUACUGGCCCAUUACCUGGAAACAAAAGUGAACCCAAGAGACUCAGUGAAUUAUUAAGAACAUCAUUUACAGAGGGAGGUAAUGUCAAUGGAGAAGGUUGAUUGAAAAGCAUCUUUGUCUCACUGGGAAAGUGGAAGAGAGUGUGAAGAAGAGACUGGGGGACUUGACUUGUCAACAAGGAGAACAGUGAGAACACCCCGCAGACAAUGCCGUAUCUGUCUGUGGCCUGGCAUAGGAUGUCCCUAAGAAAGCCACCGGGAAACUGGCUGCUGCUAAUUGAAAAUGGUUCUAGCAGUGCUUGAAUGUGGCAAUGUUCUGUUGUAUUGUGUAGAAUAACAAAAAUAGAGGCAUUUGGGAAGGAAAAUAGACCAUGACAUCUAAGAGAUGUGCUUCUACCAGACACCAUUUCUCUCCUCCCUUUCCCCAGAGUGUUUCAAGUUUAGGUUUUCAGCUUCUUGAAUAAGUGACAAUGGUUUUUUACCA
Non-coding RNA from Manis javanica (Malayan pangolin), 859 nucleotides. The record is from RefSeq and is a predicted model, not a curated record. Lineage: Eukaryota; Metazoa; Chordata; Mammalia; Pholidota; Manidae.